RNAcentral lists this microRNA precursor (63 nucleotides) under Oryza sativa (Asian cultivated rice). RNAcentral describes it as "miR1848 stem-loop (osa-MIR1848)". Lineage: Eukaryota; Viridiplantae; Streptophyta; Magnoliopsida; Poales; Poaceae. The record is from miRBase by way of RNAcentral.
CCGCGGGCCCCCUCGCCGGCGCGCGCGUGCAGGUGUGCGCGCGGCCGUCGAGUGGCUCCUAGG